CCACAUUCAUGCCUCACCAUGAUCAUGAAUGUGGUUUUCCCAGGGUGAGGCUAUUGCACCCAGGAUGUGCUGACCCCCGCAAUUUCCCCAAAUGCAGGAAACUUGGCUGCAUUAUUGUGGUGGUGGGGACUGUGGUCAUACUCUCCCCUU
RNAcentral lists this small nuclear RNA (150 nucleotides) under Microtus ochrogaster (prairie vole). RNAcentral describes it as "U1 spliceosomal RNA (ENSMOCG00000011034.1)". It matches the Rfam family "U1 spliceosomal RNA". Rfam says of the family: U1 is a small nuclear RNA (snRNA) component of the spliceosome (involved in pre-mRNA splicing). Its 5' end forms complementary base pairs with the 5' splice junction, thus defining the 5' donor site of an intron. The record is from RNAcentral. Lineage: Eukaryota; Metazoa; Chordata; Mammalia; Rodentia; Cricetidae.